GACGAACGCUGGCGGCGUGCCUAAUACAUGCAAGUAGAACGCUGAAGAGAGGAGCUUGCUCUUCUUGGAUGAGUUGCGAACGGGUGAGUAACGCGUAGGUAACCUGCCUGGUAGCGGGGGAUAACUAUUGGAAACGAUAGCUAAUACCGCAUAAAAUUGAUUAUUGCAUGAUAAUUAAUUGAAAGAUGCAACUGCAUCACUACCAGAUGGACCUGCGUUGUAUUAGCUAGUUGGUGAGGUAACGGCUCACCAAGGCGACGAUACAUAGCCGACCUGAGGGGGUGAUCGGCCACACUGGGACUGAGACACGGCCCAGACUCCUACGGGAGGCAGCAGUAGGGAAUCUUCGGCAAUGGGGGGAACCCUGACCGAGCAACGCCGCGUGAGUGAAGAAGGUUUUCGGAUCGUAAAGCUCUGUUGUAAGAGAAGAACGGGUGUGAGAGUGGAAAGUUCACACUGUGAC
RNAcentral lists this ribosomal RNA (463 nucleotides) under Streptococcus sanguinis. RNAcentral's name for it is "bacterial SSU rRNA". It matches the Rfam family "Bacterial small subunit ribosomal RNA", at positions 28 to 473 of the family's 1533-position model. The record is from RNAcentral. Lineage: Bacteria; Bacillati; Bacillota; Bacilli; Lactobacillales; Streptococcaceae.